CCUACGGGUGGCAGCAGUGGGGAAUAUUCGACAAUGGGGGGAACCCUGAUCGAGCGACGCCGCGUGAGCGAAGAAGUAUUUCGGUAUGUAAAGCUCUAUCAGCAGGGAAGAAAGAAAUGACGGUACCUGACUAAGAAGCCCCGGCUAACUACGUGCCAGCAGCCGCGGUAAUACGUAGGGGGCAAGCGUUAUCCGGAUUUACUGGGUGGAAAGGGAGCGUAGACGGCGAUGCAAGUCUGAAGUGAAAGGCGGGAGCUCAACCCCCGGACUGCUCUGGAAACUGUACGGCAGGAGUGCAGGGGGGGUAAGUGGAAUUCAUGGUGUGGCGGUAAAAUGCGU
RNAcentral lists this ribosomal RNA (339 nucleotides) under uncultured bacterium. Its description in RNAcentral is "partial 16S ribosomal RNA". It matches the Rfam family "Bacterial small subunit ribosomal RNA", at positions 338 to 691 of the family's 1533-position model. The record is from RNAcentral.